This is a small nuclear RNA of Neoarius graeffei (lesser salmon catfish), 191 nucleotides long. RefSeq annotates it as U2 spliceosomal RNA. NCBI's taxonomy places the organism in Eukaryota, Metazoa, Chordata, Actinopteri, Siluriformes, Ariidae. The record is from RefSeq and is a predicted model, not a curated record. The transcript has a single exon.
AUCGCUUCUCGGCCUUUUGGCUAAAAUCAAGUGUAGUAUCUGUUCUUAUCAGUUUAAUAUCUGAUAUGUUCUCUAAAUGAGGACGUUAUAUUAAGCAGAUUUUUAGAACAGAGAGCUGGAAUAAGGGCUUGCUCUUUCUGCUCCACGCAUCAACCUGGUAUUGCAGUAUCUCUAGGAAUGGUGCGCUUGUU